Danio rerio (zebrafish) is the source of this 277-nucleotide non-coding RNA. The record is from RefSeq and is a predicted model, not a curated record. Lineage: Eukaryota; Metazoa; Chordata; Actinopteri; Cypriniformes; Danionidae.
UUCAGUUUACAACAUGAAGAUCCUGCUUUCAACAUCUGAUCAACACCUGAUUUUCAUCUGAGAGUACCAACAUGUUACAAAUGAGAAUUUUCCCCACAAAUUCUUUGCACAACUGGACCACCACCUAUUUAAUUUGAUGACAAUUUCAAGGCAAACAGCAUUCAAAACUGGCAAGACAGCAGAUACCCUGGCUAAUCUUUUAAAGGUUUAUGAUGAGCAGGAACUGCAUGAUGUCAGUUCAUGACGGACUACUCUUAUCAGAGGUCUUUUGGUCUUG